Molecule: unclassified non-coding RNA, 210 nt
Filed under: soil metagenome
Description: partial contains 5.8S ribosomal RNA, internal transcribed spacer 2, and large subunit ribosomal RNA
Source: RNAcentral
AACCUUAUGGACCUGCGGGCGUAUACCUGCGGAAGGAUCAUUACCGAGUUUACAACUCCCAAACCCCUGUGAACAUACCUAUACGUUGCCUCGGCGGAUCAGCCCGCGCCCUGUAAAAAGGGACGGCCCGCCCGAGGACCCUAAACUCUGUUUUUAGUGGAACUUCUGAGUAAAACAAACAAAUAAAUCAAAACUUUCAACAACGGAUCU